RNAcentral lists this small nuclear RNA (77 nucleotides) under Callithrix jacchus (white-tufted-ear marmoset). RNAcentral's name for it is "U4 spliceosomal RNA". It matches the Rfam family "U4 spliceosomal RNA", at positions 1 to 80 of the family's 138-position model. Rfam says of the family: U4 small nuclear RNA (U4 snRNA) is a component of the major U2-dependent spliceosome. The structure of U4 snRNA from yeast and human has been reported. The record is from Rfam by way of RNAcentral. Lineage: Eukaryota; Metazoa; Chordata; Mammalia; Primates; Cebidae.
AUCUUUGUACAGUGGCAGUAUUGUAGCCAAUGAGGUUUAUUGGAGGCACGAUUAUUGCUAAUUGAAUAAAUUAGAUU